RNAcentral lists this unclassified non-coding RNA (2317 nucleotides) under Leishmania donovani. RNAcentral's name for it is "gene:LdHU3.30.1860(CDS-product:WD_domain_G-beta_r epeat_putative)". Lineage: Eukaryota; Euglenozoa; Kinetoplastea; Trypanosomatida; Trypanosomatidae. The record is from RNAcentral.
GGAGGGGAGCCUUUCUCUCUUUUUCAUUUCCCACGUGCAGCCCUGCGUGACACCGCCUCACCGUCCUCUCUUUCUCGACUGUGGAUCUUCUCUUCCUCCACUGGUACAGAAAGGCGGCGAGGGAGGCGUUCGGACCAUUUUUUUGCGUCUAGCUCUGCAAGUGCGCGGCGUGAAAGGCAAGCCUGCGGUACUGAGGGCGCCGUAUGGGAAAGCGGCGGAACUUUUACACCCAGCUCGCCUGUGUCUUCUCAUAUCGACGCCACACCAUCGGCCACGGCCGAAACACGAGCAAAGAAAAACGUGCACUGAGCUCCUUUUCGAGUACCACAAGUCUCUCCUUCGCAUGCACUCGCAGCGUGGCAGUGCCGCCUUUGGCCCCCCUGGCGGCAACAGGAACAAUCCAGCAACCACAAACCCCGCCGUCACCACUCGCACCCGCUCCAUUGGCCGCUCCACCGGCGCUGCACGUGACGGCGUGGCUGGAGGGCCGCGCAGCAGUGUUGGUCGGCUCAGAGCGUCUUCUUCGUCACACACGGCUGCUGUUGCCCGCGGCGGACGACCUCUCGGGCGAGGGCGCGCCCCCACUCAUCCCACCUUGUUCGGCACACGAGGUCGCUCGCCGGCAACGAUGCCUGGUGCCGGUGCGGGGCUGUCCACUGCGCAGGACGCCAUUCAGGCAGAAAUGGACGCGUUAGCCGACGAGUUUUACGGCUCAGUGCCCUCCCGGGCGCCCGAGGAUGGCACUCCUAGCUUGAGGGGGGCAUCGACGCGCACCGUCUCCGCUGACAGCCCGUACUAUCGAGCCGACGCUGGAAAUGGCCUCACGGCAGACACACUGCGUUCAACCACGUCGUGGUACGAAGGACCGGCUGAUCCGGCCGGCCGCACCUUUGAUGCAAGCGACAGCAACCUGCUGUGCAUGGACGUGCUGGUGCCUCGGGCGGCGGCAUCUGGCGCCAUGGGCCGCACUCCCGCUGCCCGCACAUUUGGUGCGGCGCCGCCUUCAGCCUCCUCGCCGCUGUGUGUCGUCGGGUCGGCAGAUCACGGGCUUAAGGUGUUCGAUCUGUGCACGAUGCGGGAACUGAAAACGCUAUACACCAAGACAUGCGGACACACAGAGUGGGUGACGGCGUGCCGCUUCCUGUCGGACCGCCGGGUGAUCUCCGGUGGUAUGGACAGCAAGUUGUGCUUGUGGAAUGACGUCACCCGCGGUGGGCCGGGGCGGUGUGUGGACCUGCUAGGGCAUACGGGCAGCAUUAGUCAAGUUGAGGUGAACGAGUGCCAUGGCCGGUUCAUGGCCAUGAGCUCCAGCUACGAUAGGACGAUACGGGUCUGGGAGCUCGACGGCAUCGCGGGUGGGCGGGAGAUGGGCUGUCUCUCUGGUCACAAAGGACCAGUGACGCAGUUCAGUUGGCUAGAAACGGAGGUACUCUCAGGUGAUCGACAGGGCACUGUGAAGCUGUGGGACGUGGAGACGGCGCAGUGCCACCUAACCGCCUCAUCGAAGCGCGGCCAAAUCGGCUCUUUGGCCCACCUCGUGCACCCCGACGUAGGACACCUCGCCCUCUUCGGCGACCAGGGCGGCGCUCUCACCGUCGUAGAUGCGCGUGGGCCGUCCUCGGCGAAGCCGCUCUUCCAGGAUGUUCUACAUCGAGGAGGGAUGGUCACGUUCAUUCGUGCCCCCUCCCCGACCGCCGUGUCUGCUCCGCUCAUUGUGACGUGCGGCGCCGACAAGCGCAUCAUCGUGCGAGAUGCUCGCCACAAUUUUGCGGAGGUGUGCGCCAUCACGGACCACGACGACUUUGUUUACUCGAUGGAAGUGAUCGGCAACCUACUUCUUUCCGGCGCCGGCAACGGCCGAUUGCUUGUGCAUGACGUGGAGACGGGGGAGCUGCUAUACGAGCUGAAGGCGAACGCCGCGGCAGUGCGCGAAAUGUUCGCGUCGCCGUCGGUGCUCGUCGCUGCCGGGGACGACGGCAAUGCGAGGGUGUUUGAUUUUAUGUAAAGUAGGGAAACCGUCGUCUGCCGCAGCACGUAGAGGGUCCUGCGGGGUGCACAUACUCUUGCAAGGAAGACUUGACCCCAACGAAUGUUCCUGUGUGCGGACGGACGGGUCUGCAAAGGGCUGGUGGUGGGCCGAUAUACAACAUGUAGAGUAGACAGCAACGCAGCGAGAGAAGACAGGAAGCACUACAAGACGACAGCAAAUGAAGAACAGGCUCGUUCACUGCUUGUGCCGAUGGUCUGGCGUGUGCGUGCGGGUGUGAGAGUGUCACAGCCUCUCGCCAGUGGUGGUUUUCUUUUCUGGUGCGCAACC